RNAcentral lists this long non-coding RNA (449 nucleotides) under Marmota monax (woodchuck). Lineage: Eukaryota; Metazoa; Chordata; Mammalia; Rodentia; Sciuridae. The record is from RNAcentral.
GUCAUUCUCAAUGGGCUAAAUGUUUGACACAUGAGAAUGUUGAAAGUGAAAGGGCACGAGAGGAUGACAGAAUCUUGCUCUCUUGAACAGUCAUUCUCAGCGUGGCCCUCUUUGUCUUAGCUAGUAGGUUACAUUUUAUAAGAUUCAGGCCAAGAUGGUAAUAACCAGAUUGAAUAUUACUGGUCAACACUAUGUUUCAGCCUGUUGGCGAAUCAGGAUUGUGACCUCUCCUUAUUGCAUAAGAGGUGAGAUACCAUGCUCUAACAGGGCAAAUUUCAGUUUUCCUGACUCCACCACUUUCCCUGAUUUCUCCAAAGGUGAAUCAUCUCCUAAGUAGCUGCUGCUUCAGUGCUUCCCAACUUUAAGCCCUGGGGGCUAGCUCAGUUUAUCUCUUUCACUCUCCCUAAUAAUGCACCUGACAUCUAAUUAUGUCUAAAACAUGGGUUUCC